UGAUUGAUUAUGCAAGCGUGGGCUACC
Molecule: non-coding RNA, 27 nt
Filed under: Homo sapiens (human)
Lineage: Eukaryota; Metazoa; Chordata; Mammalia; Primates; Hominidae
Source: RNAcentral